UACAGAGGGUGCAAGCGUUGUCCGGAAUCACUGGGCGUAAAGGGCGCGUAGGCGGCCUGAUAAGUCGGGGGUGAAAUUCUGCGGCUUAACCGCAGGACGGCCUUCGAGACUGUCGGGCUCGAGCACGGUAGAGGCUGGUGGAAUUCCCGGUGUAGCGGUGGAAUGCGUAGAGAUCGGGAAGAACAUCGGUGGCGAAGGCGGCCAGCUGGGCCGUUGCUGACGCUGAGGCGCGACAGCGUGGGGAGCAAACAGG
RNAcentral lists this ribosomal RNA (253 nucleotides) under uncultured bacterium. RNAcentral's name for it is "partial 16S ribosomal RNA". It matches the Rfam family "Bacterial small subunit ribosomal RNA", at positions 524 to 776 of the family's 1533-position model. The record is from RNAcentral.